RNAcentral lists this transfer RNA (72 nucleotides) under Ictidomys tridecemlineatus (thirteen-lined ground squirrel). Its description in RNAcentral is "Spermophilus tridecemlineatus (thirteen-lined ground squirrel) tRNA". It matches the Rfam family "tRNA". From Rfam's summary of the family: Transfer RNA (tRNA) molecules are approximately 80 nucleotides in length. Their secondary structure includes four short double-helical elements and three loops (D, anti-codon, and T loops). The record is from Rfam by way of RNAcentral. Lineage: Eukaryota; Metazoa; Chordata; Mammalia; Rodentia; Sciuridae.
CAGGGUAUAGGUCAGUGGUAGAGCCCUUGCUUAUCAUGCAUGAGGCCCUGGGUUUGAUCCCCAGCACUAUGA